RNAcentral lists this transfer RNA (73 nucleotides) under Margaroperdix madagarensis (Madagascar partridge). RNAcentral describes it as "tRNA-Asn". The record is from RNAcentral. Lineage: Eukaryota; Metazoa; Chordata; Aves; Galliformes; Phasianidae.
UAGGCAGGAGCCAAUGGGUGCUGGCAUCUAGCUGUUAACUAGAGUUAUAUGGGAUCGAAGCCCAUCUGUCUAG